ACACCCAGUGCCGGCUCCGGGCGCGCACACAUGCAGCACCUCCGCCCCUGCGCCGGCUCGGCUCUGGCCACAGCAGCGAGGACAGAGGGGCCCCGGGCGCGGCGGACUCGCGGGCGCACGCUCCCAGGAGCGCGCCGAGAGGGGCGCCGCGGCGCAGGAAACUUGGGCGAAGUUAGUUGCAAGUGCCAGGCGGCUGCCGAGAAGAGCGAGGCGGGGACGCGGCCGGUGCCAGGCCUGCGGCGCCGCGUGGAGGCUGCGCUGCCCUCCGCGGCCGGCGAGCUCCGGGAGCCCUAAGUCGGCAGGCGCGCCUGAAGGGGCUCGGAGCGAACAGAGCCGGCAUGGCCCAGGGGACGGCCGGACGCGGCUCCUCGGCGAGCCGGGAGAACUUCCUCUGAGGCCGGGCGACCAACGCUUGCUCAAGCCUCAUCCACCCUCCUUCCUCGCCCCACCCGUCAGUCCAGCAGCGGGAGAGGAAGACUCGAGAGGCAGGUGCUGCGGGGGACAGCUCCCCCCUCCAAAAAAAAAAAAUCACCCAGCCGAUUGGGGGUUUCCCAUCGGCGCACCCUGCCCGGAGCCAAG
This is a long non-coding RNA of Homo sapiens (human), 579 nucleotides long. RefSeq lists it as uncharacterized. The record is from RefSeq and is marked validated. Lineage: Eukaryota; Metazoa; Chordata; Mammalia; Primates; Hominidae. The transcript has 2 exons.